AUCCCAUCCCGAACUCAGUAGUGAAACGCAAUCGCGCCGAUGAUAGUGUGGGGUCUCCCCAUGUGAAAGUAGGUCAUUUCCAGAC
RNAcentral lists this ribosomal RNA (85 nucleotides) under Shewanella sp. 3_MG-2023. Lineage: Bacteria; Pseudomonadati; Pseudomonadota; Gammaproteobacteria; Alteromonadales; Shewanellaceae. The record is from RNAcentral. RNAcentral also lists the same sequence under 3 other names.